Molecule: ribosomal RNA, 433 nt
Filed under: uncultured bacterium
Lineage: Bacteria
Description: partial 16S ribosomal RNA
Rfam family: Bacterial small subunit ribosomal RNA
Source: RNAcentral
AACGAACGCUGGCGGCAUGCCUAACACAUGCAAGUCGAACGAGACCUUCGGGUCUUUUGGCGCACGGGUGCGUAACGCGUGGGAACAUUCCCUCAUGUUUGGACUAACUCUCCGAAUGGGGUGCUAAUACGGGAUCAUGUCUUCUGCCCGAAAAUUUAUCGCCCUUGGUUGGGCGCUCGUUGAAUUAGCUUGUUGUUAGGGUAAUAGCCUACCAAGGCGACGAUCCGUAGCUGGUAUGAGAGGAUGGUCAGCCACACUGGGAGUGAGACACGGCCUAGAAUCCUACGGGAGGCAGCAGUGGGGAACAUUGGACCGUGGGCGGAAGGCUGAUCCAGCAAUGACGCGUGAGUGAUGAAAGUCUUAGGGUUGUAAAGCUCUUUUACCCGGGAUGAUAAUGACAGUACCGGGAGAAUAAGCUCCGGCUAACUACGUG